RNAcentral lists this unclassified non-coding RNA (1710 nucleotides) under Hevea brasiliensis (rubber tree). Lineage: Eukaryota; Viridiplantae; Streptophyta; Magnoliopsida; Malpighiales; Euphorbiaceae. The record is from RNAcentral.
UCAAGGAACAUUUCCUGUCAAGGUAAUCUCAUUUGUUUAGUGUAUUAUUCCAUUUUUGCACAGCCUGCGCUUUCAUUUGCAUUUGUUUCAUCCGUCAGCCAUUUUCCAUUUAUUUUCUGAGAUUUAUUCAUAUAUUAUAUUCUGCUUUUAUUAUGGUAAUAAAUAUAUUGAUUUUUAUUUCACGGAUUUUUUUUUCCCCAUUGCUGUUGGCAUAUUCUCUUCUCCUUUCCCUUCCCCUUCCCCUUCCCCAUUUCUUGGAUUGUGCGUGUAAUUUUUAUUUUUAAUUUUUUUAGCCAGGGGGUGGGUGUGAACGGAGAAGAUGGUGAACGUUCACGAACUUAAAAUUAGGGGAGAGUUCCUUUUUGAGGAUAUCUUAAAGGGAAAUCUGAAGUUCUCAUUGAGAAGCUUCAUGGUUUUUUCCUCAAGUAUUUUGGACUUGGAAUCCAUGCUUUAGCUGUGUUCUUAUUAACAUCUGCCAUUUAUUUUUUUGGUUUAAUUCAGUGAUUGUACACUUUUGAGCUCAAGUAAUUUUCUGGGUAAGAUCUUAAUGUAGUGAAAGACAGUGAGAGUUCUGUUUCCUAUGACUUGAGAUUGAGUAAACCUAUCAUAACCAAGCAUCUUACUUGAUUAUAAUAAUCUAAAUCUUGUAGCACAUUGUCCCUGGCAUCCUUCAUAAGCUUUACAACAUUAUGAAUUCAUAACAUCUUUUGCUUAUCAAAAUAUAAGUACUGCUUUUGUAACAGUGAAUUUUCAUUAAAGUCAUUUGUGUGCAGGCUUGUCUUUACUAAUAUAAAUAUAUUACGAAUUUAUGACACUUUUUUCAUACUCUUGAGGAAAACAGUUGUGCUAUCAUAUUCAAGAAAAAAAAAUAGAGAAUGUGAUCUGACAUUUUCUGUCUCCCUGGUCUAGAAUAAAUAUUUGCUUCUACUAAUCAAUUUGUUGUAGGUUUUAUCAUUGGAAGCAAGAGAUUUUGUUAGUUAAUGAUGCCCGGCAGUAAUAUAAUUAUCUACAGUAACACAUGGAGUAGUGGGAGCUUUGCCUACAGAGGUGUCUUGUGUCUCAUGGCAAACUGACAGGGUAGGGUAUCAUACAAUAGGUCCUCACUGUGUAAUGUUCACAUGCAGAAAACUGUUUAAAGUUGAAUAACAUUAGUCACAAUAAUAAUUGUGGUUUUAUCCCCCCGAAGUACGAGUUUUGGCAACUAGCUGCUGGCAUGAUAAUUUGUUGCUUCAAAAGUUGUCUUUGAAUGUGGUGGUGCAUUAUAUUUUAGUACUGAAGUUUUUAGUGCUCUGAUAAUUAGGACUUGAGAGUGAAAUAUGUGCUUAUAUAGAGGUAGCUUAUUGCUAGAGACUUAGGCCUAUACUUGAAAUGUAUGUGGGGCUUGAUUUGUGCCGUGUCGAAACCAUUAUUUAGAGGCCCAAGUCCUGUUUCUCAACUUGCAUUCUUAUGUCCUCAUAUUGGGGAAAUUCAAUUAAUGUAGAACAACCAAUAGAACAAAAGGGAACAAAGAGGAUGCAAUAUUAGAUGAGGUUUGCAAGAAAAAAAAAUCAGUAGCGAGAAAUUUUAAGGGAUUAAGGGCAAUUUUCCACAGACAAUUGGAUACCUUGCUUUGAUAUCAAAUUGAUGUACAAGCAAUAGGACAAAGGGGUUGGGAAACAAAUUCUUAACAGAAAUAAAUUCUCAAUCUUAUUAAUUCUCAAAUUAAUUGUC